Molecule: long non-coding RNA, 1041 nt
Organism: Labeo rohita (rohu)
Lineage: Eukaryota; Metazoa; Chordata; Actinopteri; Cypriniformes; Cyprinidae
Exons: 4
Source: RefSeq, a predicted model, not a curated record
UGGACACGGGAACAGCUCUGGCGUCUUCAUAAUGAUGGUAUCCAAAUCUCCGAUCCAGUACGGGUGAACGCCUAAAACCAUGUGGAUAUGUAGUGUUACAUAAGACGUGCUCUCGAUCUUGGACAAUGUGAAAAGCAUGUUUGUCUCACUGGUGGAGUUGGAGCGAGAUCUUUUGCAGGACGUCUCUUGACAGCUCUGAUCCUCGUUGUCGCAGUUCUUGCCCUCAUCGUCUGACACCUUAAUAACUGGCAUCUGCAAACAUGGAACAUGAUCUGCUCAAAGAGAGGCCGAAAGUACGCUUAGCUGGUUAUGUGUGGUUUACUAAGGAGUAAUGAGUUGGGCAGAACCACAGAAUCUCCCAUCACACCGGCCAUGUGAUAAUGAUUCAUUUCAGCAGGAGACAUCCCUGUGAUCCAGGCAAGCAAGCCAGAAUGAACACUGCAUGGAAAACUUUUGAGAAAUACUCUGCUCUUCUCAGAUAUCAACAUUAGGAUUCAUCAGUUAUGAAACAAAUUAAACUACAGCUGUAAAGCACCUCUACUAUUAUUAUUAAGGCAUCAUCUAUUUAAUAAUUAAAUACUUUUAUUUUUCUUUCCUUAUAAAUUCUAAAUUUGACUUUUUCUUCUUUAUGCAUGAAUACAUCAGUGACCGGUGGACACAUGUUUUCUUCUGUGCAAUCCAAAGCAACACCUGAGCUAUAAAGAGGUUGCACUACUUUUAAUUCUUUCAUGAAUUAAACAUGACAGGAAAGAAGUGCAUUAAGAACUUAUCUAAAACUCUUCCUGAAGUUACUCUACUCUAGAUAACCUGGCGAUGUAUAUUAAGAAUAUUGUUGGCUGUUUGACAGAUUGCUUUUGUUCCUCAUUUUAAAGUCUGCUAAAUGCAUAAAUGCAAAUCUUAGAACAUCUAUAGUUAUUCACAUUUAAAAAGAGGGAUAGAAACCUAAAUAAAUCAGAAGUUUAUUCUACCUGUGCAACUCCUUUCUGUGACGUCAUCAAAUGCAACCAAUAGGAAAGCCAAGCUUCUGUGAUGUCAUCAGUA